RNAcentral lists this ribosomal RNA (274 nucleotides) under uncultured bacterium. RNAcentral's name for it is "partial 16S ribosomal RNA". It matches the Rfam family "Bacterial small subunit ribosomal RNA", at positions 523 to 796 of the family's 1533-position model. The record is from RNAcentral.
AUACGAAAGGUGCAAGCGUUGUUCGGAUUUACCGGGCGUAAAGAGAGUGUAGGUUGUUUAUUAAGUCGGAUGUGAAAUCCCGGGGCUCAACCUCGGAACUGCAUUCGAUACUGGUAGACUAGAGUUCGGGAGGGGUAAGCGGAAUUCCGUGUGUAGCAGUGAAGUGCGUAGAUAUACGGAGGAACACCUGAGGCGAAGGCGGCUUACUGGACCGAUACUGACACUGAGACUCGAAAGCGUGGGUAGCAAACAGGAUUAGAAACCCCGGUAGUCA